RNAcentral lists this ribosomal RNA (253 nucleotides) under uncultured bacterium. RNAcentral describes it as "partial 16S ribosomal RNA". It matches the Rfam family "Bacterial small subunit ribosomal RNA", at positions 524 to 776 of the family's 1533-position model. The record is from RNAcentral.
GACAGAGGGUGCAAACGUUGUUCGGAAUUACUGGGCGUAAAGCGCGUGUAGGCGGCAAUAUAAGUCGGAUGUGAAAUCCCGCGGCUCAACCGUGGAAGUGCACCCGAAACUGUAUCGCUAGAGUCCCGGAGAGGAUGGUGGAGUACUUGGUGUAGAGGUGAAAUUCGUAGAUAUCAAGUGGAACACCGGUGGCGAAGGCGGCCAUCUGGACGGUGACUGACGCUGAGACGCGAAAGCGUGGGUAGCAAACAGG